AUGGGCAGCGUCGGCGGCGGUGGCUCGCCGGAGCAGGACCAGCCCGUGUGCGUGACGGGCGCCACCGGCUACGUCGGCUCCUGGCUCGUCCGCACCCUGCUGCGGCGGGGCCGCCGCGUCCACGCCACGGCCAGGGACCCAGCCAAGGCGUGGCGGAUGCUGUCGGCGAUGGAGGGGAAGGAGCGGCUCACGGUGUUCCGGGCGGACAUGGCCGAGGAAGGGAGCUUCGACGACGCCCUCGCCGGCUGCGCCGCGCUCUUCCACGUCGCCGCCUCCAUGGACCUCCACCUAUCGCCCGACCAGCACGACGCCGAGGAGCGCGUGAGGUCGCAGGUGCUGGAGCCGGCGACGAGGGGCACCAUCAACGUGCUGCGGUCAUGCGUCCGCGCCGGGACCGUCCGCCGGGUCGUCUUCACCUCCUCCGUCAGCACGCUGGCGGCGGCCGGCGCGGAGGUGGCGGUCGUGGACGAGUCGUGCCUCCGGGACCUCGGCGACGUCUGGGCCACCAAGCCCAUCGGCUGGGUCUACAUCCUGUCGAAGCGGCUGGCGGAGGAGGCCGCGUUCGGGUUCGCGCGGGAGAACGGCCUCCGCCUCGUGUCCGUCGUCCUCCCCACGGUCGCUGGCCCGUUCCUGACGCCGGCCGUGCCCACCAGCGUGCAGCUCCUGCUGUCCCCCAUAACACGUGACCCGAAGCUGAGCGCGCUGCUGGCGUCGGUGCACGCGCGGUUCGGGUGCGUGCCGCUGGCGCACGUCCAGGACGCGUGCGACGCGCACCUCUUCCUCGCGGACGCGCCGGCCGCCGAGGGGCGCUACCUGUGCGUCGGCGGCAGCCACGCCAUGGCCGACAUCACCCGGCUCCUCGCCUCGCACUACCCUCUGUUCAACCCCGAGAACAGGUUGGGUGAUGAUCUCGAUGGUGCGAGCCCGGCGUCCGUGGUGUCGUCCAAGCGGCUGCUGGAUCUGGGGUUCAGGUUCGGGCACGACGCCGGAGACAUCCUCAGGGAUGCAGUCGCGCAGUGCGUCGACCACGGCUUCCUGGAGCCGCCUGCUGGAUGUGACUAG
RNAcentral lists this ribosomal RNA (1062 nucleotides) under Triticum aestivum (bread wheat). RNAcentral's name for it is "partial small subunit ribosomal RNA". The record is from RNAcentral. Lineage: Eukaryota; Viridiplantae; Streptophyta; Magnoliopsida; Poales; Poaceae.